UGAACGCUGGCGGCGUGCCUAAUACAUGCAAGUCGAGCGAACAGACGAGGAGCUUGCUCCUCUGACGUUAGCGGCGGACGGGUGAGUAACACGUGGAUAACCUACCUAUAAGACUGGGAUAACUUCGGGAAACCGGAGCUAAUACCGGAUAACAUGUUGAACCGCAUGGUUCAACAGUGAAAGACGGUCUUGCUGUCACUUAUAGAUGGAUCCGCGCCGCAUUAGCUAGUUGGUAAGGUAACGGCUUACCAAGGCAACGAUGCGUAGCCGACCUGAGAGGGUGAUCGGCCACACUGGAACUGAGACACGGUCCAGACUCUUACGGGAGGCAGCAGUAGGGAAUCUUCCGCAAUGGGCGAAAGCCUGACGGAGCAACGCCGCGUGAGUGAUGAAGGUCUUCGGAUCGUAAAACUCUGUUAUUAGGGAAGAACAAAUGUGUAAGUAACUAUGCACGUCUUGACGGUACCUAAUCAGAAAGCCACGGCUAACUAC
Molecule: ribosomal RNA, 492 nt
Filed under: uncultured bacterium
Lineage: Bacteria
Description: bacterial SSU rRNA
Rfam family: Bacterial small subunit ribosomal RNA
Source: RNAcentral